RNAcentral lists this long non-coding RNA (763 nucleotides) under Citrus x clementina. Its description in RNAcentral is "Citrus clementina (C. clementina) long non-coding RNA (CCLE_LNC002747)". The record is from RNAcentral. Lineage: Eukaryota; Viridiplantae; Streptophyta; Magnoliopsida; Sapindales; Rutaceae.
AUUUUUGUUGGGCUGGAUUAUAUCCAAACAUGAUGCGAACGACACAACAUAAAUCAAACGCGGCUCCCCCUUGAGGUUAGUCAGCUUUGCAUUACAUUUAUUUUAUAUAAUGAUAACAAUUUAAAUGCAUUUAUCAAUUUUAUUAAUAUUGAAAUACACUUUAUUUUAAUUUUCUUUUCUUACCCUUUUCUUUCUCUCUCCUCUCUCUAAGUAAUGCUCUCCGCUUGAAAAAUUUUGGAUUAUUCAAUUUCAAUCGGUUAUAUUUUUACAAUCAACUUUUUCUUUUUCUUUUUCUUUUUCUUUUUCUAGUCCUGUGAAUCGGUUGGUUAGAAAGGAAGUGGUUUAGAAGAGGAACCACUUAGAAAAGCUUUGGUCUUGAAUUAGGCUUUAAUUGAAAAUUGGGUUUAGUUAUAACUUGAAGGCAUGUAAUUAGAAACGUAUUAUGAAUGUUUUUCUCCAGGUCGACAAUUUAGCUAAGUAUAUUUAUUGAACCCAUCAACAAAUAACAAUAACACAGCAAUUUUUUUUUCCCUACCUGAAAUGAAGCUUUUCAUUGAUUAACAAACAAAAGUUACAUUUCUUCAGCAGAACAAUCACAGCUUGAACUAAUAAUUGAAAAUGUUGCUAAAUCGUGACUUUUCAAUAGCUAAGGCACCAAAUCCCAAAAAAAAAUAAUAAUAAGGAAAUUACUUAAGUCACAGGGCUGUGACUUUUUUUUUUUUAAUUUAACUCAUUAACAAUAACAAAGAAAAACAUCUCAUUU